This 1312-nucleotide long non-coding RNA is filed under the name Sorghum bicolor (sorghum). RNAcentral's name for it is "long non-coding RNA (SBIC_LNC013818)". The record is from RNAcentral. Lineage: Eukaryota; Viridiplantae; Streptophyta; Magnoliopsida; Poales; Poaceae.
UGGCCUCCACUUUUAGUCCCGGUUGUUGCUACCAACCGAGACUAAAGACUUUUUUCUUUUUUCCUUUUCUUUUCUUUUGGUUUUCCAUUUAGGGUUUACAAUUAUGUUAUUAUUAUUUUCGAAUGCGUAUUGUUUUCUGGUAGUUUAUGGAACAAGCACCUAUAAUUUAUAUAAUUUAAAGCAUGACAUAUAAAUAUACUAUAAAACACUAUAUAUAUUAUAUGUAUCUAUAGGUCCAUAAUAUAAUAUUUACACAUAUGCAUCACGGACAAAGUAUUUACAACACAAUUCAUCUCCGCCACUCAAGCAUCGUACAAAUGAUCAUUGUGAUUUGGUUUCAUUGGCUCCUCAGGGAUGAAGUAGCACUCGCCGCCGGGAUUCAGGACUUGGUCGUUAAGAAAUCCUGCAAUUGUCUCCUGAAUUCCUUUUGGGCGGACCGCAUCCAAGACCUGCUCCUUCAACCACAUUUCCUUUAAUAGGCAUUAAAGAAAAAAGUUAGAGAUAUGAAUAGGAUUUAUUAAAUAGCAAGAAAUAAAUGAAAUAAACUUAUUACAUAUACAUGUUACAUACUUUUAGGUGCUCAAGAUUAGUUCUUUUGGUAUAGACCGUCAUAAACUCGCACACAGAGUAGCCACUCAAAUUGUUGCCCGGUGUCUGCCGUGGAACCCAUUGAAGAUAGGCUUUGAAAGUGCUGCAUUCAACUCUGGACGGUGUUUCUGCACGAACCCAGUCCAAACCCUACCAAUAAAACGAUCAUUAUUAAUUAUGUAUUACCGAGUUAAAAGAGCAGAAUUUUAUAUAUAGAGAUCAGAGUUACCCUUGGAUAAUAUCUAUCAUUUCUUGGUAAUCGUCCUGUGGUUUUCUCAACGAGUCAUAGAUUACCAAUUGACAUUGCUAGAGAUCAAUGACAAUUAGUAUCUAAUGGAAGCUGCAUUUGUGUGCCUGUAGGCAAAAUUAGUAUAUAUCUUCAUACUGAUCUGAUUAAUUAGUUAAAUAGAAUGUACACACGAUAACGACACUUACUUAAAGUUGUAGGGAAAGAGUAUAUAUCUUUAGUCUUUUUGGUUGAUCAAGAACCUCCAUAGAUUUCUCUCCGUUUGAGUUCUCCAUAAGACAUACGGGGUCUUCUGGUCUUUGAAUACAACAUUUGGAUCCACAAAUCCAAUCUCCUUAUCAUUUCUAACUCUGAGGUCCCUCAUCAUGUUUCUGCAUAUGUAUAGCGGGUUUCUGUAAUUAGUUAUAUAUAUACAUGAUAAGUUACAGUGACAUUAUUGAAAGAAAGAAUCACUUACAGACAGAAGCAACUCAUUAG